UACGAAGGUGGCAAGCGUUACUCGGAAUUACUAGGCGUAAAGGGCAGGUAGGUGGUUUGAUAAGUCUGUUGUGAAAGCUCCCGGCUUAACUGGGAGAGGUCAACAGAAACUAUCAGGCUUGAGUAUGGGAGAGGGUACUGGAAUUCCCGGUGUAGCGGUGAAAUGCGCAGAGAUCGGGAGGAACACCUAUGGCGAAAGCAGGUACCUGGACCAUUACUGACACUCAGCUGCGAAAGCUAGGGGAGCAAACAGG
This 253-nucleotide ribosomal RNA is filed under the name uncultured bacterium. Its description in RNAcentral is "partial 16S ribosomal RNA". It matches the Rfam family "Bacterial small subunit ribosomal RNA", at positions 524 to 776 of the family's 1533-position model. The record is from RNAcentral.